This 64-nucleotide transfer RNA is filed under the name Phocaeicola vulgatus str. 3775 SR(B) 19. RNAcentral's name for it is "Bacteroides vulgatus str. 3775 SR(B) 19 partial tRNA-Val". It matches the Rfam family "tRNA", at positions 1 to 60 of the family's 71-position model. From Rfam's summary of the family: Transfer RNA (tRNA) molecules are approximately 80 nucleotides in length. Their secondary structure includes four short double-helical elements and three loops (D, anti-codon, and T loops). Further hydrogen bonds mediate the characteristic L-shaped molecular structure. tRNAs have two regions of fundamental functional importance: the anti-codon, which is responsible for specific mRNA codon recognition, and the 3' end, to which the tRNAs corresponding amino acid is attached (by aminoacyl-tRNA synthetases). tRNAs cope with the degeneracy of the genetic code in two manners: having more than one tRNA (with a specific anti-codon) for a particular amino acid; and 'wobble' base-pairing, i.e. permitting non-standard base-pairing at the 3rd anti-codon position. The record is from RNAcentral. Lineage: Bacteria; Pseudomonadati; Bacteroidota; Bacteroidia; Bacteroidales; Bacteroidaceae.
GGGCGUUUAGCUCAGCUGGUUCAGAGCAUCUGCCUUACAAGCAGAGGGUCGGCGGUUCGAAUCC